GAUGAACGCUGGCGGCGUGCCUAAUACAUGCAAGUCGAGCGAAAGGACGAGGAGCUUGCUUUUCUGAUGUUAGGGGAGGGGGGGUGAGUAACACGUGGAUAACCUACCUAUAAGACUGGGAUAACUUCGGGAAACCGGAGAUAAUAGCGGAUAAUAUUUUGAACCGCGUGGUUCAAAGGUGAGAGACGGUCUUGCUGGAACUUAUAGAUGGAUACGGGCUGCAUGAGCUGGUUGGUAAGGUAACGGCCUACCAAGGCUACGCUGCAUUGCCGACCUGAGAGGGUGAUAGGCCACCCUGGAACUUAGACACCGUCCAGACGCCUACGGGAGGCAGCAGAAUGGAAUCGUACGCAAUGGUCGGAAGCCUUACGGAGCAACGCCGCGUGAGUGAUGAAGGCCUUCGGAUCGUAAAACUCUGUUAUGAGUUAUGAACAUAUGUGUAAUUAACCGUGCCCAGCUUGACGGUACCUAAUCAGAAAGCAACGGCUAACUACGUG
RNAcentral lists this ribosomal RNA (497 nucleotides) under uncultured bacterium. RNAcentral's name for it is "partial 16S ribosomal RNA". It matches the Rfam family "Bacterial small subunit ribosomal RNA", at positions 28 to 507 of the family's 1533-position model. The record is from RNAcentral.